AGAGUUUGAUCAUGGCUCAGAGCGAACGUUAGCGGCGCCUUAACACAUGCAAGUCGCACGAGAAAGGGCUUCGGCCCCGGUAAAGUGGCGCACGGGUGCGUAACACGUAGGCAAUCUUCCCUUGAGCGGGGGAUAACGUUUCGAAAGAGACGCUAAUACCGCAUAAGACCACGGCUACUUCGGUAGCUGCGGUCAAAGCUGGCCUCUUCAUGAAAGCUAGCACUUAAGGACGAGCCUGCGGCCCAUCAUGCUAGUUGGUAGGGUAACGGCCUACCAAGGCGAAGACGGGUAGCUGGUCUGAGAGGAUGAUCAGCCACACUGGAACUGAAACACGGUCCAGACUCCUACGGGAGGCAGCAGUGGGGAAUAUUGGACAAUGGGCGAAAGCCUGAUCCAGCGACGCCGCGUGAGUGAUGAAGGCCUUCGGGUUGUAAAGCUCUGUUGAGGGAGAAGAAAACAGCUGAGGCGAAUAGGCUCGGUUCUUGACGGUAUCCCUUUAGAAAGCACCGGCUAACUCUGUGCCAGCAGCCGCGGUAAGACAGAGGGUGCAAACGUUGCUCGGAAUUACUGGGCGUAAAGCGCGUGUAGGCGGACCUGCAAGUUGGACGUGAAGGCCCUGGGCUCAACCCGGGAAUUGCAUCCAAAACUGCAGGUCUGGAGUGAUGGAGAGGAAAGCAGAAUUCCUGGUGUAGAGGUGAAAUUCGUAGAUAUCAGGAGGAACACCGGUGGCGAAGGCGGCUUUCUGGACAUCAACUGACGCUGAGACGCGAAAGCGUGGGGAGCAAACAGGAUUAGAUACCCUAGUAGUCC
Molecule: ribosomal RNA, 810 nt
Filed under: uncultured bacterium
Lineage: Bacteria
Description: bacterial SSU rRNA
Rfam family: Bacterial small subunit ribosomal RNA
Source: RNAcentral